This 1829-nucleotide unclassified non-coding RNA is filed under the name Hevea brasiliensis (rubber tree). Lineage: Eukaryota; Viridiplantae; Streptophyta; Magnoliopsida; Malpighiales; Euphorbiaceae. The record is from RNAcentral.
UUCUUCUUCUUCUUCUUCCUCCUCUUCCACUUCCAUCUCCACUUCUUCUGCAGCUCCGCCCCACCUCGUCGACGCGUCUCUCGCCAUCGCCACUAGAUCUGGGCCUUUUUUAGGCUCAGCAAAGAAGAAUCAGCAGCAGCAGAAUCUUUCCAUAGUUACAACCACAUCGACAACCACCUCCACCACCACUUAUGUAGCAGCAACACCAGCGAAGCGGUCCACGAAGGACCGACACACGAAGGUAGAUGGUAGAGGACGGAGAAUCAGAAUGCCAGCAACUUGUGCAGCCAGGGUUUUUCAAUUGACAAGAGAAUUGGGUCAUAAAUCUGAUGGGGAAACAAUUGAGUGGUUGUUACGGCAAGCAGAACAUGCUAUUAUAGCUGCCACAGGGACUGGGACUAUACCAGCAAAUUUUUCCACCCUCAAUAUUUCGUUAAGGAGUAGUGGAUCUACCCUUUCAGCUCCGCCUUCGAAAUCUGCUCCUCAUUCGUUUCAUGGAGCCUUGGCUUUGGCUCAUCAUCCUCAUUAUGAAGAAGGGUUUGCCCAUACAGCGUUGUUGGGGUUUCACCAUCAGCUGCAGCAUCAGCAGCACCUGAUGGCAGCAGAUCAAGUAGCUGAAGCGCUGCCAAGUGGUGGUGGUGAAAGAGGAGGAGGGGAAAGUGGUGGUGUUGCUGGGGGAGAUUCUGGUGAGAAUUAUAUGAGAAAACGUUUUAGAGAAGAUUUAUUCAAGGAGGAUAGUCAACAACAGCAACAAGGAGAAAGUGUUAGUGGUGGUACUAGCGGAGGUGGUGUUGGAGGAGGAUCUCCCAUUAAAGGAUUCAAAAGUGGUUUGCAGCUACCAAAACCUCAGCAACAAGACACAGUAUCUUCUGGAAUACUUAGGUCUUCAAAUAUCCUACCUGCCACUGCCAUGUGGGCAAUGGCACCAGCACCAAGCAGUGGCAGCACAAUCUGGAUGCUGCCAGUGACUGCUGGUGGCUCCGGUAGUGGCCCGGCAGUUGCCACCGGCACAACUGGAGCUGGACCCUCAGAACCCCAACCCCAGAUGUGGCCUUUUUCUACAGCAACACCACCAAGCGUAAACUCUGUACAAGCUCCGUUGCAUUUUAUGCCAAGAUUCAAUCUUUCAGGUAAUCUUGAAUUUCAAGGUGGAAGAGGAAAUGCUUUACAACUGGGUUCCAUGUUAAUGCAGCAACAACAACCUUCACAACAUCUUGGGUUAGGCAUGGCAGAGUCAAAUUUGGGGAUGUUAGCUGCUCUUAAUGCAUAUUCUAGAGGUGGUUUGAAUAUAAAUUCCGAGCAAAAUAAUCCAUUGAAUCAACAUCAUCAACACCAGCAACCUCAAGAUACUAAUAGUGGAGAUGAAGAUCCCAAUAGUUCUCAAUGACAAGCUUAAUAAGUGGGUUUGUUGCUCUCAUUUUAAAUACAUAAAUAUGACAGCUUGAUGGCUAUGGUUUUUUUUUUUUCACAUUUUAUUGCAUAGGAAGUAGCAGGAGCUAGAGAUUGUUGUUGGGUUUGCUUUCACAGAUUUGGGAAUUGAAUUUGUGUCAAGUUCUUGGAAAUUCCAUGGAUGAUGGAGGCUGAGAUUGAUCAGUGUCCUAGCAAUUUCCAUUUUGGUUUUGGUUUGUUAGUUUUUGAAUUCUUCUAGAUUGAUCAUGUGGAGUAGUUUGAGAUGUAAUUUGUUAGUUUGGUUCAAAAUGGGACAAAAACAGAGGGGAAAAAUAGAGAGACGGAGAGCUAGAGUUUGUAUAGGAGGAUAUUUGUUUGUGUUUAGUAUAAUUAUUUGCUUCUUGUCCAUUCUCAUAAAAACAAAGCAAAUAAUUAUACUA